CUUUCAACCCUAUAUUUUUUUUUCCCACUCGGAUCAUAAGGAGGGGAAGCAAGGCUGGCAAGACCCUAUCUGGAUUGGAAUGAGCUUUACUCCAUGAUCCUCCAUAAGGGAAAGUAUUGAUAUGAAAAUAAGAUCAAAAGACAUAUUCUACUUCUGGAACCCUUGAGUAAACAGGAGACCUGCAUUGGGGUAUGAUGGACAAUCCACAGUAUUCAUCUAUCACAGUCACGUUUUCCAAGAGAUGGACAAUGUCCAAAAACUGCUUAGAUGGUUAAGCAGCUGACAUCAUUUCACACAUAAGGAGACAAACUCAAAGACGUUUAAACAGUUGCUGAAAACUACACACCAUGCAGAGGAAGAAAACAGGGAAGGGAGUCUCAACUGACAAAAAUUUCUUCCAAAUUGAGGAGUUUAUGUGAACAGGUAAGAUU
This is a non-coding RNA of Sus scrofa (pig), 431 nucleotides long. Lineage: Eukaryota; Metazoa; Chordata; Mammalia; Artiodactyla; Suidae. The record is from RefSeq and is a predicted model, not a curated record.